This 494-nucleotide ribosomal RNA is filed under the name uncultured bacterium. Its description in RNAcentral is "partial 16S ribosomal RNA". It matches the Rfam family "Bacterial small subunit ribosomal RNA", at positions 28 to 507 of the family's 1533-position model. The record is from RNAcentral.
GACGAACGCUGGCGGCGUGCUUAACACAUGCAAGUCGAACGGAAAGGCCUGCUUUCCCUUGUGGAUUGCGGGUACUCGAGUGGCGAACGGGUGAGUAACACGUGAGUGAUCUGCCCCCAACUUGGGUAUAAGCCUGGGAAACUGGGUCUAAUUCCCGAUAGGACUGCAGGGUGGUGCCUGUGGUGGAAAACGAUUUUCUAGUGGUUGGGGAUGAGCUCGCGGCCUAUCAGCUUGUUGGUGGGGUAAUGGCCUACCAAGGCGGCGACGGGUAGCCGGCCUGGGAGCGUGGACGGCGACAUUGGGACUGAGAUACGGCCCAGACUCCUACGGGAGGCAGCAGUGGGGAAUAUUGCACAAUGGGCGUAAGCCUGAUGCAGCGACGCCGCGUGGGGGAUGACGGCCUUCGGGUUGUAAACUCCUUUCGACCGCGAGGAAGCCACCUGGUUGGAAGGGUGGUGACGGUAGUGGUAGAAGAAGCACCGGCUAACUACGUG